CUUCUUAGAGAUAGUAUGUAGGCAAGGAAUGAGCUUUUCUUUUCUUGUGAAUUGGCAAAAUAAAAUGAAUGAAAGUGCCUCCUAUUUAUAGAUUUUCAAGGUUUGGGGCAAAAUAGUAAAUUUGAAAUUUAAUGGGUAGAAUUGCUUAGAUUUAAAAUCAAUGGUCCGAAUGGGAAAUAAAGUACAUGGAUUGCCAACCAAGAAUUUGUCCAAUCAAUUUUGCAGCUUCCAAAUUUAUAGAAGGUUUAGCGCACAAAAAUUGUUAGCUUCCAAAGACAAAAUGUGCUCAUUUAAUUCGAUCAAAACAUUUAGAGUAAAUCUACAUGUACAUCACAUUUACUUCUUGCUUGCCCAAACGCAGAGAAUAAAGUCGUUUUGAAUUUUUUUCCCCUACAAUUCAAGUUGCUUUCGCUUCUCCUCUUUGGUCGCCCAAAUAUUUCUCUCUCCUCUUGAUUUCCCUACUUGCAGCACAAAGCAGAUUCGCCCAUAAUAAAGCUUCAAAAUGCAAAGAAAGGGGCCCCGGAAAUUAGGAAAAACCAAAUUAGCUGGAAAACAUGACGGAGGCCAUGAAUACCGGCAAGACCAAAAGCAGAACCCAGAAAUCAGAUACCCAAGGUUGUUGGAUAGACCCCACGAGUAGCUGGAGCCGAGAAGCCAAAUCGGCUAAACGAUGGAUCGUCGGAGAAAUCCAAUGCUCAGCAAAAAAGAGGAUUCUCAAAACACCCAUCAUCAAAUCAGAUCAUCAAUCAAGAUAAGAAUUAAAAGCAAAUAUGGUUUAAUUAUGGAUACAUAGACCAAUAUAUAGCCACCAAACGUAGCUACAACAGAUCACAUCAUUGAUUAGAUACAAAAUGAAUACAAAAUUUAUUAGAUACCACAUGUCAUUUUAUGAUGUAGAUACAAUCUUGCUGGAUGAAGAGUUUAAACUUAAAUUAUCAAUCAAGAGGAAAGGAUUGCUUAGUUAAAAUUUUCAAAAUAUUGAAUGGGAUAAAACUGAUUGAUUGGCUUUGCACUGCUCCUGACUUUUGACUUUGGGGGCACACGGUUUUGGAUGGUUGUUUGCAUAUGGGUUUCGGCAAGUAGUGAAUUCAAGAGAAGAGAGAAAUAUUUGAGCGAUGAAAGAGGAGAAGCAAAAGCAACUUGAAUUGUCGAAAAAAAUAUAUUCCAAAACGACUUUAUUCCCCGCGUUUUGACGAUUUACUCAAACAUUUAAUGCAGACAUCUCAUCACAUUCACGAAAUGAACAAAAAACUUUGUCCCAACUUGAUUGUCUCUUUUAGUUCCCAGCAUAUGCAAAGG
RNAcentral lists this long non-coding RNA (1299 nucleotides) under Panax ginseng (ginseng). Its description in RNAcentral is "long non-coding RNA (PGIN_LNC008636)". The record is from RNAcentral. Lineage: Eukaryota; Viridiplantae; Streptophyta; Magnoliopsida; Apiales; Araliaceae.